Adelges cooleyi (spruce gall adelgid) is the source of this 450-nucleotide long non-coding RNA. RefSeq lists it as uncharacterized. The transcript has 3 exons. NCBI's taxonomy places the organism in Eukaryota, Metazoa, Arthropoda, Insecta, Hemiptera, Adelgidae. The record is from RefSeq and is a predicted model, not a curated record.
UAAAAAGUUCUAAAAAUAUCGUAUAGGUACCGCCUACGUUACAAAAGACCGGCCUAGAUUAAUAUAUAGGCCAACUUCAAGGCCGGUUGUUUGUAGCGUAGACGAUACCUUGUUCGCUUACCUUACGCUUCAAUCAAUUUUUUAGUGUUUUGGAUUGACUUCCGCAAAAACGGGAUCUUGGUCUGUUUAUCGUCGUCGUUAGCUGCAGCUGCACAAAAAUUAACGAAUUUAUUUCAUGCUAUAUAGAGAAGAGCUAAGGUUUACACGUUUAAUGCUAUAGGUACCAGCAACCUGUAGAGGAGAAUUAUUUGGGGAAUUUAUGAACAUAAUUAAAACAGAUUAUUCAAAGAAACUGGAACAAUUAACUAAAAUUAAAUAUACGGUGUUUGUUUAAAUUCUCAAUUGCCUGUAGUUUUAGAUCCAAGAUCAAAACGGAGAACCUAUCCGGUC